RNAcentral lists this ribosomal RNA (492 nucleotides) under uncultured bacterium. RNAcentral's name for it is "partial 16S ribosomal RNA". It matches the Rfam family "Bacterial small subunit ribosomal RNA", at positions 29 to 507 of the family's 1533-position model. The record is from RNAcentral.
AGUGAACGCUGGCGGUAGGCCUAACACAUGCAAGUCGAACGGCAGCACAGUAAGAGCUUGCUCUUACGGGUGGCGAGUGGCGGACGGGUGAGGAAUACAUCGGAAUCUACUUUUUCGUGGGGGAUAACGUAGGGAAACUUACGCUAAUACCGCAUACGACCUACGGGUGAAAGCAGGGGAUCUUCGGACCUUGCGCGAUUGAAUGAGCCGAUGUCGGAUUAGCUAGUUGGCGGGGUAAAGGCCCACCAAGGCGACGAUCCGUAGCUGGUCUGAGAGGAUGAUCAGCCACACUGGAACUGAGACACGGUCCAGACUCCUACGGGAGGCAGCAGGGGGGAAUAUUGGACAAUGGGCGCAAGCCUGAUCCAGCCAUACCGCGGUGGUGAAGAAGGCCUUCGGGUUGUAAAGCCCUUUUGUUGGGAAAGAAAAGCAGCAGGUUAAUACCCCGCUGUUCUGACGGUACCCAAAGAAUAAGCACCGGCUAACUUCGUG